GCCCGACUGAUCGCGCGAGCCGUCGCCGGAGCGCCGCGAAUACUAGCGCCUCCACGACGGCUCACGAUGCGAUGCUGCCCCUAUACCCUAACUCGUUUUGCGCCCACGAUGCUGCACUGCGCUCCGUCAUCAGUCCCAACGUAAUGAUUGUAAAUAUUAUUAAUACUAGAUGUCAACCCUCCGAUUGUAGUUUUCUUUUUGAGCAUUGACAUUUUGAAUUAAUUCAAAGAUUUGUAAAUAUUACAUUCACUCGUUAUAUCCAUUUGAUGUUGAUUGAUGUUAGUAUGAGGGCAGGACCCGCGUAUUGCCGGAAACACCAUUAUAUAGGAAGUAGAAGAGGAGCUUAUAGAAGAUUGCUUCGAUUCUUAAAACUACUCUCGCGUCAGACGUAAACUUUGAAUCGCUCAUAAAUGAAGUACUUGCCCAUAGAUACUUUGCCGAGUACUACUGAUCAAUACUGAUCAUUGCGUAAUGAAAAGCCUUUUACGAGCGAUUUAUGUUUACGUCUACCUAUGUAUUUAACUGUAGCGAUUUUGUAUGUUGUGUAAUGUAUAUUUAUGUAAGAAUAAGUAUUGCGUAUUAGGCAGAAAAAAUUGUACUCUACUCUUCAAAAUUUUGUAGCCGAAAAUAUUACAUAAAUAACUUUUUUACAUUUAAUAGACAUUUGUAACAUUUUGUUGGUAGCUAUUUACUUUUAAUUAUAUAAUAUUUAUAGAUAACCUUGAGUUUCAUAAGUUACUCAUUCACUACAUUUGCCAUAUUUAUAGCAUUUACUCGUACCUAGUUUGUCGUUUUGAGACAAUUUCAAUAGUAGUGAACUUGUAUACAUUCCUAACGUAACUAACUAGGGUAUUUGUACCGACUCUAUAAAUAACACUUAAGAUAUAUUUCGUCUCAAAAUAACCCCAACUUUGACACUUUGCCUUAUAUGAUUAAUAAACUUCUAAAGAUAUUCUAGUGAGUAAGUGCAUCUAGGUACUAUUCUUCCAAGGUUGUGCUUUAGUGAAUUUCCCCUAACGUAUACCCACUAAUUCUUUUGUAUACAUACAUCGCAUAAAUUCUCCCAUGUCAUGGGAAUUCCUUCCUUUCAUGUAGCUCUUUAUAAACUGUACAUAAUAUGGUAAUGUUAUUUUUCAAAAUAUUCUACGCACAACUACCUUCGUAAUAGCGGUAUUAUAAUUAAAACUUUUUAUAAUCUGUAGACACAUGAAUGUUCACUCUCUGACAAAUACAAUAUUUGAUAGUAUUCCGAUUAUAGACAUGUAAUAGAUAAAUAAGUUACUUGAAUACAAUAGGAUACUCAUUGAUGUGUUUAGUUAUCUAAAUAUUGCAUUGAAACACUCAGUCACAGCAGAACUUGUAUACCUUCAGUAGAAGAUCAUAGAAUAGACGGCCGAGAGCGCGCCCGCCGGCCUACGUAGCUCACAUGUAGCAUACAAUUUCGAACUUAAGUAGAUUAAAUAAUAUUUGUGGAAUGAAUGAUAUUUUGACUGUCGAUGUUUAGAUACAAAUUACAUAUCUUACGCAAUUGUAUUGUAAUAUAAUGCCUCAUCAAAAUCUGUGUUCUUCCAAUCGCUCUCAUAGCUUAGUGGCUCACCUGACAAUACUUCACUCGUCGACCACUCGCUCGCUCGCGUCACCUGCACUAGUGCGUCGCUCGAGCGACUCUAGUAGAUCAUUUCAAAUGGUUGUAUAUUUCCUAAGAGAGAGAAAUUUUAAUACUUAUCUAAAUCUAUAAUAUUCCAUUAUUAGAUUUUACAAUUAUAUUAAAAUACUCAUAUUUUCCAAUGCCAAAAUAUAUAUCUGGUGUUGAGUGUACUUUUACACUAUAAUUUUUAUUUAUUACGUUGAAAACAAAUUAUACAUAAUAAAUUCAAGUAUAUAUUUAUCAAUGAAUUCUAUUAUAGAUAUUUGAUAAUGUAAAAUAUGACAUUUCCAACCGAACGGUGGAAAUUGUCUAACUUACGCUUAUUAUCUUGAUAUAUUAGUAUAAAACAAAAAUAAUAUUCUUACGUAAGUGACAAAUGUAAAUCCAUUUAUUACUCGUAUAUUAACAUAUUGUGCCUCGAUGACCCCCGAUACCGCUAACUACCCACGCAGCCUUCAUCCACUCCGACUCGCGAGUCUCUCACUGUCAUUCACACGCAUACCUACUCUUUACACAUAUCUGAAUUCGAUUCAAAUUAAUAUUUAUCUGUACGAAGCAGACAUUUAUAAACAUAUCGGUGUCUGUAGCAGUAUGAUAUACGACUUAGCCUACACAUAUCUGUCGUCGGUGACCGCUGAGCGUCCCGCGCCUACGAACCUUCACUCUGUAGCGUGAAUGACGAAUCAAUGUGAUAAUGGUAUCGGAUAUCAUAAUAUGUACCUAAAUUUUCUUACCUUAGUGUUACUAACGUCGUUUCUUCCUAGUUACAAAUUUGUAAAUUUCCUUUUAUUGGUGAAUACUGAGAAAGUAACGAUAUCUUUACCUUGCAAUAAAAUAUUCAAUAGUAUCAGAAUAUAUUUUUAGAAUCGUAUCAGCAAUUUGUGGAUAAUCCAAUAAAUACUGAACAUAAACAUAUUUUUCCUAUCCAAUAAUCUAUAGAAAUAUAUUUUAAAGAUAUAGUCUUGGUAUUUGUCAAUAAAAUGGAGUAGAACUCUACAAAUCCUAGUACGUAAAAAAUGUCUGUGUCAAAGUAUAUUAUUAAAUAAAUGUGAUAAUAAAUGAGUUUAUUAUAGCGAUACUAACAUUCA
Ostrinia nubilalis (European corn borer) is the source of this 2736-nucleotide long non-coding RNA. RefSeq lists it as uncharacterized. The transcript has 2 exons. Lineage: Eukaryota; Metazoa; Arthropoda; Insecta; Lepidoptera; Crambidae. The record is from RefSeq and is a predicted model, not a curated record.